This 585-nucleotide ribosomal RNA is filed under the name uncultured bacterium. RNAcentral describes it as "partial 16S ribosomal RNA". It matches the Rfam family "Bacterial small subunit ribosomal RNA", at positions 355 to 1376 of the family's 1533-position model. The record is from RNAcentral.
UGGGGAAUUUUGGACAAUGGGCGCAAGCCUGAUCCAGCAAUGCCGCGUGCAGGAAGAAGGCCUUCGGGUUGUAAACUGCUUUUGUCAGGGAAGAAAUCCUCUGGGUUAAUACCUCGGGGGGAUGACGGUACCUGAAGAAUAAGCACCGGCUAACUACGUGCCAGCAGCCGCGGUAAUACGUAGGGUGCGAGCGUUAAUCGGAAUUACUGGGCGUAAAGCGUGCGCAGGCGGUUGUGCAAGACAGGUGUGAAAUCCCCGGGCUUAACCUGGGAACUGCACUUGUGACUGCACGGCUAGAGUACGGUAGAGGGGGGAUGGAAUUCCGCGUGUAGCAGUGAAAUGCGUAGAUAUGCGGAGGAACACCGAUGGCGAAGGCAAUCCCCUGGACCUGUACUGACGCUCAUGCACGAAAGCGUGGGGAGCAAACAGGAUUAGAUACCCUGGUAGUCCACGCCCUAAACGAUGUCAACUGGUUGUUGGACGGCUUGCUGUUCAGUAACGAAGCUAACGCGUGAAGUUGACCGCCUGGGAGUACGGCCGCAAGUUGAAACUCAAAUGAAUUGACGGGGUCAUAGCUGUUUCCUG